AGUCGUAACAAGGUUUCCGUAGGUGAACCUGCGGAAGGAUCAUUAACACGUAUCCAACGUUAAAACAACCCCGUGAACUUUCAGCUUGCUCAAAGCAGCAAUCCCUGGUAAAUCAUUGUUGACCAAGGGACCUCUGCAGAUUGUGAUAUUUUAAAGCUACGGUUGAGCGAUUGCAUCUAGUGACCUGGCAUCCCCAAGUAAUCAGUGUUCUGAAAGUGUCAUUGAUUGUGUAAGGAUGGCGCAGUCACGAUCGCUGUAGGCCCACACGGCCGGCGACCGGGUCACCGGGCUCUGCUCCUUUACGACAACUACAGUCUAACUUCGCCGCGCGUGAAAUUCGCACGGCACCAAAAACCGAACAACUGUUAACAAUGGAUAUCUUGGUUCUC
RNAcentral lists this unclassified non-coding RNA (389 nucleotides) under fungal sp. RNAcentral describes it as "partial internal transcribed spacer region". The stretch from base 1 to 45 matches the Rfam family "Eukaryotic small subunit ribosomal RNA", at positions 1787 to 1831 of the family's 1831-position model. The record is from RNAcentral. Lineage: Eukaryota; Fungi.